UUAGAGGUAAACGGGUGGAGUUGAACUGUAAUCUGUGAGAAUUCAGCUGGGGAAUUUUGCUUGAGCUUGGUCAAUUGAGCAGGGCUCCGAGGUAUGCUUAGCUGCAUGUCCUGAUCUUCGGGUUGGGAUGCGCGUUGCUCUUAUCAAGGGUUGUGCGCCUCGGGGUUCAGCUAGCUCGUUCGCCAGUGCACUUUCUCAUGGUGAUCACCACGACCGGCGCUGCUGCUUGGCUGUUUUGGUUAAAUCGGUUACUCUUCGUCCCUGUGGCGUUGGGUGAUCGACACGGCAGGUAAUUGGGGGCAAUCGUUUAGCUUGUUUCCCGGUGUAUGCUGACUUUAACGGUCCAAUGCGGUGCGUCGGAGACGGCGGCUAGUGGUGUGUGCGUGCGUGCCUAUCUGUUGGCGUAUUCUGGUUUGGUUGCUGUGUGCUUGUUUACGCAGGCCCAGUGAUAGCCGGAGUGUGUCAGUGGGUGGUUGCGUGUGUGACACCGUUCAGG
This 496-nucleotide ribosomal RNA is filed under the name Allocreadium schizothoracis. Its description in RNAcentral is "partial large subunit ribosomal RNA". Lineage: Eukaryota; Metazoa; Platyhelminthes; Trematoda; Plagiorchiida; Allocreadiidae. The record is from RNAcentral.